GAUGAACGCUGGCGGCGUGCCUAAUACAUGCAAGUCGAGCGAACAGACGAGGAGCUUGCUCCUCUGACGUUAGCGGCGGACGGGUGAGUAACACGUGGAUAACCUACCUAUAAGACUGGGAUAACUUCGGGAAACCGGAGCUAAUACCGGAUAAUAUAUUGAACCGCAUGGUUCAAUAGUGAAAGACGGUUUUGCUGUCACUUAUAGAUGGAUCCGCGCCGCAUUAGCUAGUUGGUAAGGUAACGGCUUACCAAGGCAACGAUGCGUAGCCGACCUGAGAGGGUGAUCGGCCACACUGGAACUUAGACACGGUCCAUACUCCUACGGGAGGCAGCAGUAGGGAACCUUCCGCAAUGGGCGAAAGCCUGACGGAGCAACGCCGCGUGAGUGAUGAAGGUCUUCGGAUCGUAAAACUCUGUUAUUAGGGAAGAACAAAUGUGUAAGUAACUAUGCACGUCUUGACGGUACCUAAUCAGAAAGCCACGGCUAACUACGUG
Molecule: ribosomal RNA, 497 nt
Filed under: uncultured bacterium
Lineage: Bacteria
Description: partial 16S ribosomal RNA
Rfam family: Bacterial small subunit ribosomal RNA
Source: RNAcentral